GAUGAACGCUGGCGGCGUGCCUAAUACAUGCAAGUCGAGCGAAAAGAUAAUGAGCUUGCUCCUUUGACGUUAGCGGCGGACGGGUGAGUAACACGUGGGUAACCUUCUUAUAUGACUGGGAUAACUUCGGGAAACAGGAUCUACUAAUGGAUCACACUUCGAACCGCAUGGUUCUAAAGUGAAAGAUGGCUUUGCUAUCACUUUUAGAUGGACUCGCGUCGUAUUAGCUAGUUGGUAAGGUAACGGCUUACCAAGGCGACGAUACGUAGCCGACCUGAGAGGAUGAUCAGCCACACUGGAACUGAGACACGGUCCAGACUCCUACGGGAGGCAGCAGUGGGGAAUCUUCCGCAAUGGGCGAAAGCCUGACGGAGCAACGCCGCGUGAGUGAUGAAGGGUUUCGGCUCGUAAAGCUCUGUUAUUAGGGAAGAAAAGAUGUGUAAGUAACUGUGGACGUCUUGACGGUACCUAAUCAGAAAGCAACGGCUAACUACGUG
Molecule: ribosomal RNA, 497 nt
Filed under: uncultured bacterium
Lineage: Bacteria
Description: partial 16S ribosomal RNA
Rfam family: Bacterial small subunit ribosomal RNA
Source: RNAcentral